GAGAGUAUAGCUCAAGUGGUAGAGCGCAUGCUUAGCAUGUAUGAGGUCCUGGGUUCAAUCUCCAGUACCUCCU
This 73-nucleotide transfer RNA is filed under the name Camelus bactrianus (Bactrian camel). It matches the Rfam family "tRNA". From Rfam's summary of the family: Transfer RNA (tRNA) molecules are approximately 80 nucleotides in length. Their secondary structure includes four short double-helical elements and three loops (D, anti-codon, and T loops). RNAcentral also lists the same sequence under 3 other names. The record is from Rfam by way of RNAcentral. Lineage: Eukaryota; Metazoa; Chordata; Mammalia; Artiodactyla; Camelidae.